This 496-nucleotide ribosomal RNA is filed under the name uncultured bacterium. RNAcentral's name for it is "partial 16S ribosomal RNA". It matches the Rfam family "Bacterial small subunit ribosomal RNA", at positions 28 to 507 of the family's 1533-position model. The record is from RNAcentral.
GACGAACGCUGGCGGCGUGCCUAAUACAUGCAAGUAGAACGCUGAAGGAGGAGCUUGCUCUUCUUGGCUGGGUUGCGAACGGGUGAGUAACGCGUAGGUAACCUGCCUGGUAGCGGGGGAUAACUAUGGGAAACGAUAGCUAAUCCCGCAUAAUAGUAGAUCUUGCAUGACAUUUGCUUAAAAGGUGCAAUUGCGUCACUACCAGAUGGACCUGCGGUGUAUUAGCUAGUUGGGGAGGUAACGGCUCACCAAGGCAAGGAUACAUAGCCGACCGGGUAGGGUGGGCAGCCAGCCUGGGAGUGUGACACGGCACAGACGGCUAGGGGUGGGAGCAGUAGGGAAACGUGGGCAAUGGACGGGAGUCUGACCGAGCAACGCCGCGUGCGGGAAGAAGGUUGUCGGAUCGGAAAGCUCGGUUGUAAGGGAAGAACGAGUGUGAGAGUGGAAAGUUCACACUGUGACGGUAUCUGACCAGGAAGCGACGGCUAACUACGUG